AAUAAAAUGGCUGAGUUUAAGCGGUAAAUUGUAAAUUUAUUAACGAGAAAUUUCYCUUUUAUUA
Molecule: transfer RNA, 64 nt
Filed under: Lymantria dispar (gypsy moth)
Lineage: Eukaryota; Metazoa; Arthropoda; Insecta; Lepidoptera; Erebidae
Description: tRNA-Tyr
Source: RNAcentral